This is a non-coding RNA of Triticum aestivum (bread wheat), 115 nucleotides long. Lineage: Eukaryota; Viridiplantae; Streptophyta; Magnoliopsida; Poales; Poaceae. The record is from Rfam.
CAGGUACUCCCUCCGUUCGAAAUUAUUUAUCGCAGAAAUGGAUGUAUCUAGACGUAUUUUAGUUUUAGAUACAUCCAUUUUCAAGACAAGUAAUUCCGAACGAAGGAAGUAGCAU